Molecule: ribosomal RNA, 468 nt
Filed under: uncultured bacterium
Lineage: Bacteria
Description: partial 16S ribosomal RNA
Rfam family: Bacterial small subunit ribosomal RNA
Source: RNAcentral
GACGAACGCUGGCGGCGUGCUUAACACAUGCAAGUCGAACGGAAAGGCCCUGCUGUUGUGGGGUGCUCGAGUGGCGAACGGGUGAGUAACACGUGAGUAACCUGCCCUUGACUUUGGGAUAACUUCAGGAAACUGGGGCUAAUACCGGAUAGGAGCUCCUGCUGCAUGGUGGGGGUUGGAAAGUUUCGGCGGUUGGGGAUGGACUCGCGGCUUAUCAGCUUGUUGGUGGGGUAGUGGCUUACCAAGGCUUUGACGGGUAGCCGGCCUGAGAGGGUGACCGGCCACAUUGGGACUGAGCUAAGGCCCAGACUCCUACGGGAGGCAGCAGUGGGGAAUAUUGCACAAUGGGCGGAAGCAUGAUGCAGCAACGCCGCGUGCGAGAUGACGGCCUUCGGGUUGUAAACCGCUUUCGCCUGUGACGAAGCGUGAGUGACGGUAAUGGGUAAAGAAGCACCGGCUAACUACGUG